Long non-coding RNA from Homo sapiens (human), 1594 nucleotides. RefSeq lists it as uncharacterized. The transcript is spliced from 4 exons. The record is from RefSeq and is a predicted model, not a curated record. Lineage: Eukaryota; Metazoa; Chordata; Mammalia; Primates; Hominidae.
ACCUCAGGUGAUCUGCCCACCUCAGCCUCUCAAAGUGGUGGGAUUACAGGUGUGAGCCACCACACCCAGCCAACAGCGAUUAUUAGUUAAUAAUAGACAUCGUCAUUACACAGCCCAGAAGGCUUUAUCUGAAACCCCUGGGGCCAGAGGUAUUUCACAGCUCAGACAUUCUGGACUUUAGAAAGGUCUGAUGGUGCUGACACCACACAGCAUGGAACACACACAGCAAGGGCCGGGGCAGCCCCCUUAGUCACACACAUCACUGCUCCCACCCUGCGAUUCAGAACAUUCCCGUGAGCUGGAGUGAGCAAAGACUAGCAAGAGUACUAGCUGGCGUCCUGGGGAGGUGUUGAUACCGGUGUUGCCAUCCCCACUGUGCAGAUGGGAAAACUGAGGCACAGAGGAUUAACUACAUGCCUGAGGGAACACAGCUAAAAACACAAGGAAGCCGCUUGCUCGUGGUCUACCUCCUGGGCACCAUUGGUGCGUCCCCAUGUGGCCCCUGUGGCAUGCCCCCUCCUCUGGGGAAGCUUUCUGGAGGUUGGAAGUCUAAAAUCAAUAUAACUGGGCCAGGCAUGGUGGCUGACACCUGUAAUCCUGUCAUUUUGGGAGGCCAAGGUGGGCAGAUCACUUGAAUCCAGGAGUUUGAGACCAGCUUGGGCAACAUGGUGAAACCCCAUCUCUACUAAAAAUACCAAAAAACUGGCCAGGUGUAGUGGCAUAUGCCUGUAGUCCCAGCCACUCAUCGCUUGAGCCUGAAGUCGAGGCUGCAGUGAGCCCUGAUUCUGUCACUCCACUCCAUCCUGGACGACAGAGUGAAACCUGAUGUUUAAAUGCAGUUUUUCAUGUAUGUACUUCUUACCAAAAUGAGAUCAUACAGAACCUGCAAUUUUGUAACCUGCGUCUUUCAGUUAACCUCCUCUUCUCCUUGGCAGUAGUGCUUUCGUCUUGUCUGAUACCCAUUCCCUAUUCAAAUGUCCCUCCGUUUCUCCCCAAAGAGACUUUGUCUUGUUUUGUUUUUUGAGACAGGAUCUCACUCUGUCACACAGGCUGGUGUGCUGUGGUACGAUCUCGGCUCACUGCAACCUCUGCCUCCUGGGUUCUGAUGAUUCUCGUGCCUGAGCCUCCUGAGUAGCUGGGACUAUAGGUGCACACCACUGCACCUGGCUAAUUUUUGUAUUUUUAGUAGAGACAGGGUUUCACCAUGUUGGCCAGGCUGGUCUCAAACUCCUGACCUCAGGUGAUCCGCCCACCUCGGCCUCCACCCACAAAGAGCCUUUAUAACUUGUUUUGUCCAAGCCAAAACCCGGUCCAGGAUCACCCCUCAAAGCUGGUCUUGUGUCUCUUAACGGAUUUUUUUCAAAUAUAGCAAGGCUACUUGCUUUUGUUUUGCACUGUGGCAUGGAUUUGUUGGAGAGACGGUGCCGUUUGCUCUGCAGAAUGUGUUGCCUUCUGGAAUGUUCUGGGUAGUGCCGUGAGGUACCGUGUUUACAAUCAAUUCUUGUUAUUCAUAGUAGCGAUGUUGUAUAACUGUGACCACUGAAUCAGCAAAUAAGGACCCAUUGCUUCAUUAAUAAAAGUAUAUAUUUUUCUA